AAUGGCUCAUUAAAUCAGUUAUCGUUUAUUUGAUAGUACCUACCCACUACUUGGAUAACCGUGGUAAUUCUAGAGCUAAUACAUGCUAAAAACCCCGACUUCGGGAGGGGUGUAUUUAUUAGAUAAAAAACCAAUGCCCCUCGGGGCUCCUUGGUGAUUCAUGAUAACUUAACGGAUCGCAUGGCCUUGCGCCGGCGACGGUUCAUUCAAAUUUCUGCCCUAUCAACUUUCGAUGGUAAGGUAUUGGCUUACCAUGGUUUCAACGGGUAACGGGGAAUUAGGGUUCGAUUCCGGAGAGGGAGCCUGAGAAACGGCUACCACAUCCAAGGAAGGCAGCAGGCGCGCAAAUUACCCAAUCCCGACACGGGGAGGUAGUGACAAUAAAUACUGAUACAGGGCUCUUUUGGGUCUUGUAAUCGGAAUGAGUACAAUUUAAACCCCUUAACGAGGAACAAUUGGAGGGCAAGUCUGGUGGACAUUCGGCUCCCAUUCUGCUGACGCCAGAGAUAGUCGGGCACCAACAGGUGUUAUGCCGGCUAGUCGAGUACCCGCCAAUUGAUGGGAGGGUACCGGCAAGACAACCUGGAUCGGGGAAGGCUAAGGCACUCUGGUGCUAUGCUAAUCCCGAGCAGAGUCCCUGCGGAGAGAUCUGUGGGUGACCUGUGUAGAGCGCGGAAAGGUGUCGGCCAGCUCAAAGAGCUGGCUUGAGGGACGUGCCAUUCCCACCCGAAAGGGUGGCUGCCAGCAUAAGCGCCCAUCACGCAAGGGCUGGUAGGCUCGAACGCCUGUGAGGGAUGUUCGUGUGUAGUAUUAAAAGGCCAGCAGCCGCGGUAAUUCCAGCUCCAAUAGCGUAUAUUAAAGUUGUUGCAGUUAAAAAGCUCGUAGUUGAACCUUGGGCCUGGCUGGCCGGUCCGCCUCACCGCGUGUACUGGUCCGGCCGGGCCUUUCCUUCUGGAGAGCCGCAUGCCCUUCACUGGGUGUGUCGGGGAACCAGGACUUUUACUUUGAAAAAAUUAGAGUGUUCAAAGCAGGCCUUUGCUCGAAUACGUUAGCAUGGAAUAAUAGAAUAGGACGUGCGGUCCUAUUUUGUUGGUUUCUAGGACCGCCGUAAUGAUUAAUAGGGAUAGUCGGGGGCAUCAGUAUUCAAUUGUCAGAGGUGAAAUUCUUGGAUUUAUUGAAGACUAACUACUGCGAAAGCAUUUGCCAAGGAUGUUUUCAUUAAUCAGUGAACGAAAGUUAGGGGAUCGAAGACGAUCAGAUACCGUCGUAGUCUUAACCGUAAACUAUGCCGACUAGGGAUCGGGCGAUGUUUCUAUCUUGACUCGCUCGGCACCU
This 1335-nucleotide ribosomal RNA is filed under the name Quadricrura septentrionalis. RNAcentral's name for it is "bacterial SSU rRNA". It matches the Rfam family "Eukaryotic small subunit ribosomal RNA", at positions 92 to 1088 of the family's 1831-position model. The record is from RNAcentral. Lineage: Eukaryota; Fungi; Ascomycota; Dothideomycetes; Pleosporales; Tetraplosphaeriaceae.